Molecule: ribosomal RNA, 737 nt
Filed under: Labidogonalos sp. JC18
Lineage: Eukaryota; Metazoa; Arthropoda; Insecta; Hymenoptera; Trigonalidae
Description: SSU rRNA
Rfam family: Eukaryotic small subunit ribosomal RNA
Source: RNAcentral
AUAGCGUAUAUUAAAGUUGUUGCGGUUAAAAAGCUCGUAGUUGAAUCUGUGUGCCACACUGUCGGUUCAUCGCUCGCGGUGUUUAACUGGCAUGAUUGGGGGACGUCCUACCGGUGGGYUUASCCYUUNGGGGCGGUCCAACUAAUAUCCCAUCGCGGUGCUCUUAAYYGAGUGUCGAGGUGGGCCGGUACGUUUACUUUGAACAAAUUAGAGUGCUUAAAGCAGGCUAUUUUCGCCUGAAUACUGUGUGCAUGGAAUAAUGGAAUAGGACCUCGGUUCUAUUUUGUUGGUUUUCGGAACCCCGAGGUAAUGAUUAAUAGGGACAGAUGGGGGCAUUCGUAUUGCGACGUUAGAGGUGAAAUUCUUGGAUCGUCGCAAGACGRACAGAAGCGAAAGCAUUUGCCAAAAAUGUUUUCAUUAAUCAAGAACGAAAGUUAGAGGUUCGAAGGCGAUCAGAUACCGCCCUAGUUCUAACCAUAAACGAUGCCAGCUAGCGAUCCGCCGAAGUUCCUCCGAUGACUCGGCGGGCAGCUUCCGGGAAACCAAAGCUUUUGGGUUCCGGGGGAAGUAUGGUUGCAAAGCUGAAACUUAAAGGAAUUGACGGAAGGGCACCACCAGGAGUGGAGCCUGCGGCUUAAUUUGACUCAACACGGGAAACCUCACCAGGCCCGGACACCGGAAGGAUUGACAGAUUGAYAGCUCUUUCUUGAUUCGGUGGGUGGUGGUGCAUGGCCGUU